GGCUGGGUGGCAGAGUGGUGAUGCAGCGGCCUGCAAAGCCGUGUACAUGGGUUCGAUUCCCGUCCCAGCCUCCA
This 74-nucleotide transfer RNA is filed under the name Ectothiorhodospira mobilis. Its description in RNAcentral is "tRNA-Cys". It matches the Rfam family "tRNA". From Rfam's summary of the family: Transfer RNA (tRNA) molecules are approximately 80 nucleotides in length. Their secondary structure includes four short double-helical elements and three loops (D, anti-codon, and T loops). Further hydrogen bonds mediate the characteristic L-shaped molecular structure. tRNAs have two regions of fundamental functional importance: the anti-codon, which is responsible for specific mRNA codon recognition, and the 3' end, to which the tRNAs corresponding amino acid is attached (by aminoacyl-tRNA synthetases). tRNAs cope with the degeneracy of the genetic code in two manners: having more than one tRNA (with a specific anti-codon) for a particular amino acid; and 'wobble' base-pairing, i.e. permitting non-standard base-pairing at the 3rd anti-codon position. RNAcentral also lists the same sequence under 1 other name. Lineage: Bacteria; Pseudomonadati; Pseudomonadota; Gammaproteobacteria; Chromatiales; Ectothiorhodospiraceae. The record is from RNAcentral.